Molecule: ribosomal RNA, 918 nt
Filed under: Staphylococcus aureus
Lineage: Bacteria; Bacillati; Bacillota; Bacilli; Caryophanales; Staphylococcaceae
Description: bacterial SSU rRNA
Rfam family: Bacterial small subunit ribosomal RNA
Source: RNAcentral
GAGUAACACGUGGAUAACCUACCUAUAAGACUGGGAUAACUUCGGGAAACCGGAGCUAAUACCGGAUAAUAUUUUGAACCGCAUGGUUCAAAAGUGAAAGACGGUCUUGCUGUCACUUAUAGAUGGAUCCGCGCUGCAUUAGCUAGUUGGUAAGGUAACGGCUUACCAAGGCAACGAUGCAUAGCCGACCUGAGAGGGUGAUCGGCCACACUGGAACUGAGACACGGUCCAGACUCCUACGGGAGGCAGCAGUAGGGAAUCUUCCGCAAUGGGCGAAAGCCUGACGGAGCAACGCCGCGUGAGUGAUGAAGGUCUUCGGAUCGUAAAACUCUGUUAUUAGGGAAGAACAUAUGUGUAAGUAACUGUGCACAUCUUGACGGUACCUAAUCAGAAAGCCACGGCUAACUACGUGCCAGCAGCCGCGGUAAUACGUAGGUGGCAAGCGUUAUCCGGAAUUAUUGGGCGUAAAGCGCGCGUAGGCGGUUUUUUAAGUCUGAUGUGAAAGCCCACGGCUCAACCGUGGAGGGUCAUUGGAAACUGGAAAACUUGAGUGCAGAAGAGGAAAGUGGAAUUCCAUGUGUAGCGGUGAAAUGCGCAGAGAUAUGGAGGAACACCAGUGGCGAAGGCGACUUUCUGGUCUGUAACUGACGCUGAUGUGCGAAAGCGUGGGGAUCAAACAGGAUUAGAUACCCUGGUAGUCCACGCCGUAAACGAUGAGUGCUAAGUGUUAGGGGGUUUCCGCCCCUUAGUGCUGCAGCUAACGCAUUAAGCACUCCGCCUGGGGAGUACGACCGCAAGGUUGAAACUCAAAGGAAUUGACGGGGACCCGCACAAGCGGUGGAGCAUGUGGUUUAAUUCGAAGCAACGCGAAGAACCUUACCAAAUCUUGACAUCCUUUGACAACUCUAGAGAUAGAGC